RNAcentral lists this long non-coding RNA (1482 nucleotides) under Cricetulus griseus (Chinese hamster). Its description in RNAcentral is "lncRNA (ENSCGRG00015032822.1)". Lineage: Eukaryota; Metazoa; Chordata; Mammalia; Rodentia; Cricetidae. The record is from RNAcentral.
GUUCACUUCCUGUGGAUCAUGAUGUAAGAACUCUCAGCUCCUUCUCCAGCUCCCUGUCUGCCUUCAUGCUGCCAUGCUUCUUGCCAUGAUGAUGAGACUAAACCUCUGAACUAUGGUAGAGCUAACACCCUUCACCAUAAGAGCUUCUCUUCACAGCAAAUGGAGACCGUCACAGAAAACUGCAAGUGGACAUAAUGCAGAAAGCCCUGAAUCAUGAGGAGCCCAGCCCCAGUGGAUACACUCACAUGCCAGCUCUGCUUUUGUGGCUCAGGGGACAACGUCUCUGAAGAGGGGUCAGAAAAGAUGCAUAUACCCAAAGGAAGCACAUUCAUACAACAAGGACAUCUGUUCAACGAUGUUCAUAGCAGCACUAUUUGUAAUAGCCAGAAACUGGAAGCAGCCUACAUGCCCCUCACCUGAAGAAUGGAAGGAAAAAAUGUGGUACAUUUACACAAUGGAAUACUACUCAGGAGAAAAUAAAUGGAAUCUUGAAAUUCUCAGGCAAAUGGAUGGAACUAGAAGAAACCAUUCUGAGUGAGGUAACCCAGUAGCAAAAAGACAAACAUGGUAUGUAUUCACUCAUAUGUGGAUUUUAGACAUAGAGUAAAGGAUUACCAGCCUACAAUCCACACUGCCAGAGAAGCUAGUAAAUAAGGUGGACCCUAAAAGAGAUAUGCAUGGUCCCCUGGAGAAGGGGAAAGGUCAAGAUCUCCUGAGCAAAUUGGGAGCAUGGGAGGAGGGGGAAGGGAGCUAGGAGAAUAAGAAGGGGAGAAGAGGAGGGAUGAGGAAGACAUAAGGGAGCAGAAAGAUUGAGUCUGGGGAAGAAUAGAAGAUAACAAGAAUGGAGAUACCAUAAUAGAGGGAGACAUUUUAUGUUUACAGAGAAAUCAGGCACUAGUGAAAUGUCUGGAGAUCUACAAAGAUGACACCAGCUAAUAAUCUAAGCAACGAGGAGAGUCUACCUUAAAUUCCCUCCCCUGAUAAUGAGAUUGAUGACUGACUUAUAUGCCACCUGAUAGCUCUCAUCCAGCAGCUGGUGGAAGUAGAAGCAGACACCCACAACUAAUCACUGAACUGAACUGGAAUCCAGAUGCAGAGAAGGACAAGUGAAGAGCAAAGGGUUCCAGACCAGGCUGGUGAAACCCACAGAAACAGCAGACCUGAACAUCGGGGAACUCUUGCUCCCCAGACUGACAGCUGGGAUACCAGCAUGGGACUGAUCCAGACCCCAGGAACAUGGGUUUCAGUGAGGAAACCUUGGAAAUCUAUGGGACCUCCUAUAGUAGUUCAGUACUUAUCCCUAGCAUAGGUGGAGAAUUUGGGAGCCCAUUCCAAAUAGAGGAAUACUCACUGAGCCAAGACACAAGGGGGUGGGCCUAGCCUUAUCCCAAGAGAUACAAUAGACUCUGAUGAGACUCUAAGGAAGGCCUCACCAUCCAUGGGACGCAGAAAGGAUAUGUGAUAGAUAGGGUUUUAGUUGGG